RNAcentral lists this non-coding RNA (28 nucleotides) under Sus scrofa (pig). RNAcentral also lists the same sequence under 1 other name. Lineage: Eukaryota; Metazoa; Chordata; Mammalia; Artiodactyla; Suidae. The record is from RNAcentral.
GUCGGUAGAGCAUCAGACUUUUAAUCUG